AAUGAACGUUGGCGGCGUGGAUUAGGCAUGCAAGUCGUACGGACAACGGGAGCUUGCUCCCCGAGUUAGUGGCGAAAGGGAUAGUACAAUAUAGAUCAUCUGCCCCCCGGUCGUGGAUAGCUACGGGAAACUGUAGGUAAUACACGAUGAUCUCUACGGAGCAAAGGUGUGAUUCCGCCUGGGGAUGAGUCUAUAGCCUAUUAGCUUGUUGGCGGGGUAAUGGCCCACCAAGGCUAUGAUGGGUACGAGGCGUGAGAGCGUGUCCUCGAUCACUGGGACUGAGACACUGCCCAGACACCUACGGGUGGCUGCAGUCGAGAAUCUUCGGCAAUGGACGAAAGUCUGACCGAGCGACGCCGCGUGAGCGAUGAAGGUCUUCGGAUUGUAAAGCUCUGUAAGUUGGGAGGAAAUGUACGGGAGCAAUCUCCUGUACUUGACCUAUCUUCAAAGUAAGGACGGGCUAAGUUCGUGCCAGCAGCCGCCGUAAAA
RNAcentral lists this ribosomal RNA (489 nucleotides) under uncultured bacterium. RNAcentral describes it as "bacterial SSU rRNA". It matches the Rfam family "Bacterial small subunit ribosomal RNA", at positions 29 to 525 of the family's 1533-position model. The record is from RNAcentral.